This is a long non-coding RNA of Hevea brasiliensis (rubber tree), 599 nucleotides long. RefSeq lists it as uncharacterized. The record is from RefSeq and is a predicted model, not a curated record. NCBI's taxonomy places the organism in Eukaryota, Viridiplantae, Streptophyta, Magnoliopsida, Malpighiales, Euphorbiaceae. The transcript is spliced from 2 exons.
GGCACGGAUCAUUAUUGCCACCGCUACUCGAUAAAUAUGUGAAUUCAAUGGACAAAAACACGGGAAUUAAUGCAGUUUUAGGCUCCACGCUGCGUGCAAUAAUCCUCUGGAUGCUUCAUGCCUCAGCUCUCAGAUGAUUGGUGUUCAAAUCAAAGAACUUCAGCAACAAGCCUGAAAUGGAGGUGGAGAGUAAAGUUUGAUUUCAUACAGUCUAUGCAAAUGCUUCAGAAGUGGAAGAAAAUGUAUGACAACUUGCAUGAAUUGUGUGUAACUGAGAUAUUGGAUGGAGAUAAUGAGGGAAACACCAAUUAAAAUAUAACAUAGGGCUCUAUGGUUCUCCUUUCACGAGCAGCUUCAAAGAUUUUGGAUAUAUAUUUAUCAUUAAUAUGAUGUUCAGAGAAUUGAGCCUAGCUUUUUUAACUUCAAGAUUUAGGAUUUAGAACUCUGUUCCACUCUGUCUAGGGCAUCAAUUGGUUUCACCAGUAAUGACCUUUUCUUAGAAAAUCUUGCCUUUGGAUUGUCUUUAGACCACUGGGAUAACGAUCCACGAUGACAGUCUGUUGGAAAUGCAGUGGAAGCAAAUUAAAGUUGCCUCUAAA